UACGUAGGUGGCAAGCGUUGUCCGGAUUUAUUGGGUUUAAAGCGUGCGCAGGCGGUUUCGUAAGUCUGUCGUGAAAUCCCCGGGCUCAACCUGGGAAUGGCGAUGGAGACUGCGAGGCUAGAGUUUGGCAGAGGGGGGUAGAAUUCCGCGUGUAGCAGUGAAAUGCGUAGAUAUGCGGAGGAACACCGAUGGCGAAGGCAAUCCCCUGGACCUGUACUGACGCUCAUGCACGAAAGCGUGGGAAGCAAACAGG
RNAcentral lists this ribosomal RNA (253 nucleotides) under uncultured bacterium. RNAcentral's name for it is "partial 16S ribosomal RNA". It matches the Rfam family "Bacterial small subunit ribosomal RNA", at positions 524 to 776 of the family's 1533-position model. The record is from RNAcentral.